UAGCGGCGGACGGGUGAGUAAUGCUUAGGAAUCUGCCUAUUAGUGGGGGACAACAUUCCGAAAGGAAUGCUAAUACCGCAUACGCCCUACGGGGGAAAGCAGGGGAUCUUCGGACCUUGCGCUAAUAGAUGAGCCUAAGUCGGAUUAGCUAGUUGGUGGGGUAAAGGCCUACCAAGGCGACGAUCUGUAGCGGGUCUGAGAGGAUGAUCCGCCACACUGGGACUGAGACACGGCCCAGACUCCUACGGGAGGCAGCAGUGGGGAAUAUUGGACAAUGGGCGGAAGCCUGAUCCAGCCAUGCCGCGUGUGUGAAGAAGGCCUUUUGGUUGUAAAGCACUUUAAGCGAGGAGGAGGCUACUUAGAUUAAUACUCUAGGAUAGUGGACGUUACUCGCAGAAUAAGCACCGGCUAACUCUGUGCCAGCAGCCGCGGUAAUACAGAGGGUGCGAGCGUUAAUCGGAUUUACUGGGCGUAAAGCGUGCGUAGGCGGCUGAUUAAGUCGGAUGUGAAAUCCCUGAGCUUAACUUAGGAAUUGCAUUCGAUACUGGUCAGCUAGAGUAUGGGAGAGGAUGGUAGAAUUCCAGGUGUAGCGGUGAAAUGCGUAGAGAUCUGGAGGAAUACCGAUGGCGAAGGCAGCCAUCUGGCCUAAUACUGACGCUGAGGUACGAAAGCAUGGGGAGCAAACAGGAUUAGAUACCCUGGUAGUCCAUGCCGUAAACGAUGUCUACUAGCCGUUGGGGCCUUUGAGGCUUUAGUGGCGCAGCUAACGCGAUAAGUAGACCGCCUGGGGAGUACGGUCGCAAGACUAAAA
Molecule: ribosomal RNA, 811 nt
Filed under: Acinetobacter tjernbergiae
Lineage: Bacteria; Pseudomonadati; Pseudomonadota; Gammaproteobacteria; Moraxellales; Moraxellaceae
Description: bacterial SSU rRNA
Rfam family: Bacterial small subunit ribosomal RNA
Source: RNAcentral